Molecule: long non-coding RNA, 221 nt
Organism: Scomber japonicus (chub mackerel)
Lineage: Eukaryota; Metazoa; Chordata; Actinopteri; Scombriformes; Scombridae
Exons: 3
Source: RefSeq, a predicted model, not a curated record
UCACAGAGGUGAUAACAGUUUGUGUUCAGGAUGAUUUGUAUUAAGGUGUCCUCCUUUUGAAUGAGGAUUUUAGGUUUCAUCUCAUUGUGGAUAUCACUUACAGUCUAUGGAGUUGAUGAAAACUGCUAACAUGUCAUAUGAAAAGUCUUGGAGAAGAAAACCUUUGAGCACUGUAACAUUUCUGAUAAUCAUGAUGAAUGUCUUCAGUGUUCUUAGCUUCA